RNAcentral lists this ribosomal RNA (243 nucleotides) under uncultured bacterium. RNAcentral describes it as "partial 16S ribosomal RNA". It matches the Rfam family "Bacterial small subunit ribosomal RNA", at positions 524 to 768 of the family's 1533-position model. The record is from RNAcentral.
UACGUAGGGUGCAAGCGUUAAUCGGAAUUACUGGGCGUAAAGCGUGCGCAGGCGGUUUGUAAGUCAGAUGUGAAAUCCCCGGGCUUAACCUGGGACUGCGUUUGAAACUACAAGGCUAGAGUGUGGCAGAGGGGGUGGAAUUCCACGGUGUAGCAGUGAAAUGCGUAGAGAUGUGGAGGAACACCGAUGGCGAAGGCAGCCCCCUGGGUUAACACUGACGCUCAGGCACGAAAGCGUGGGGAG